RNAcentral lists this ribosomal RNA (535 nucleotides) under Xanthidae sp. 3 KYKC-2019. RNAcentral describes it as "partial small subunit ribosomal RNA". The record is from RNAcentral. Lineage: Eukaryota; Metazoa; Arthropoda; Malacostraca; Decapoda; Xanthidae.
UAUAGUUUAUAAAAUAAUUAAGAGAGAAAAAAGUGAAAUUAGAAUUCUUUUUUUAAUAAUAUUAUAGUAAACUUGAGUUGAAGUUAGUAAGUGUUAGGUUUAAACUAGGAUUAGAUMCCCUAUUAUACUAAUAAAAUAUAUAUUACUCAGAUUAUUAGAAGUUAUGUUCUUGAAAUUCGAAGAAUUUGGSGGUGAUUUAGUCUUGUUAGAGGAACCUGUUUUUGAAUCGAUACACCACGUAAAAUCUUACUCAUUUUAGUAAUAAAGUUUAUAUACCGUCAUUAUCAGAUGAUUUUCUAAGAAUAAAUUAUUAAGUUUUUAUCAAAAAAGUUAAAUUAGAUCAAGGUGUAGCUAAUAAAUGAGUUAAAAUGGGUUACAAUAAAAUUUAUUUAAUACGAAAUAAUUAAAGAAAGAAGAAUUAUGAAGGAGGAUUUAAUUGUAAUUAAAGUAUAAUAAGCUUUAAAGAUAUAAGCUCUAAAUCAUGUACAUAUCGCCCGUCGCUUUCAUUUUAUAGAUGAGAUAAGUCGUAACAAAG